UACGUAGGGUGCGAGCGUUAAUCGGAAUUAUUGGGCGUAAAGCGUGCGCAGGCGGUUCGUUGUGUCGGCGGUGAAAGCCCCGGGCUCAACCUGGGAAUGGCCGUUGAAACUGGCGAACUGGAGUGUGGCAGAGGGGGGUGGAAUUCCGCGUGUAGCAGUGAAAUGCGUAGAGAUGCGGAGGAACACCGAUGGCGGAGGCAGCCCCCUGGGCUGACACUGACGCUCAGGCACGAAAGCGUGGGGAGCAAACAGG
RNAcentral lists this ribosomal RNA (253 nucleotides) under uncultured bacterium. RNAcentral describes it as "partial 16S ribosomal RNA". It matches the Rfam family "Bacterial small subunit ribosomal RNA", at positions 524 to 776 of the family's 1533-position model. The record is from RNAcentral.